Molecule: ribosomal RNA, 432 nt
Filed under: Proteus mirabilis
Lineage: Bacteria; Pseudomonadati; Pseudomonadota; Gammaproteobacteria; Enterobacterales; Morganellaceae
Description: bacterial LSU rRNA
Rfam family: Bacterial large subunit ribosomal RNA
Source: RNAcentral
ACCGAUAGUGAACCAGUACCGUGAGGGAAAGGCGAAAAGAACCCCGGCGAGGGGAGUGAAAAAGAACCUGAAACCGUGUACGUACAAGCAGUAGGAGCCCCAUCACUCAAGUGCCUCGCACUGAGUGAUGCAAGAACAUCACCGAAAAUAGCGCCGAAUUUGCUAACAAGGUUGGUCGAUUUUUUCAAACCGUCGCGCAGUGUACCUAGAAGUACACGAGCAACGGAAGUUAAAAAAUCGGGCAAGAUUGAACGCAAAGGCAAGCGGGACAUUUGAGGAUGGGGUGACUGCGUACCUUUUGUAUAAUGGGUCAGCGACUUAUAUUCUGUAGCGAGGUUAACCGUAUAGGGGAGCCGUAGGGAAACCGAGUCUUAACUGGGCGAAUGAGUUGCAGGGUAUAGACCCGAAACCCGGUGAUCUAUCCAUGGGCAG